RNAcentral lists this ribosomal RNA (301 nucleotides) under uncultured bacterium. RNAcentral's name for it is "partial 16S ribosomal RNA". It matches the Rfam family "Bacterial small subunit ribosomal RNA", at positions 509 to 807 of the family's 1533-position model. The record is from RNAcentral.
CAGCCGCCGCGGUAAAACGAAGGGUGCAAGCGUUAAUCGGAAUUACUGGGCGUAAAGCGUGCGUAGGCGGUUCGUUAAGUCUGUUGUGAAAGCCCCGGGCUCAACCUGGGAAUGGCAAUGGAUACUGGCGAGCUAGAGUGUGUCAGAGGAUGGUGGAAUUCCCGGUGUAGCGGUGAAAUGCGUAGAGAUCGGGAGGAACAUCAGUGGCGAAGGCGGCCAUCUGGGCCAACACUGACGCUCAUGCACGAAAGCGUGGGGAGCAAACAGGAUUAGAUACCCGCGUAGUCCCUGUCUCUUAUAC